This 1952-nucleotide long non-coding RNA is filed under the name Felis catus (domestic cat). RNAcentral describes it as "lncRNA (ENSFCAG00000051856.1)". Lineage: Eukaryota; Metazoa; Chordata; Mammalia; Carnivora; Felidae. The record is from RNAcentral.
GAGCUCUAAGAAUUAAAGGUGUUGACAGGACGGAUGGGACAGGUUUACAAUAGUUGCAAGCUUUUUUUCAUCCAGUUUUCUGUCUAUUUAAAACAUUUGGCUGUUUAAAAUUUUUUUUAAAUUUUAUUUAGGGAAAAGAGAGAGAGCAGGGGAGAGGGGCAAAAGGAGAGAGAGAGAGGGAGAGAAUCCUAAGCAGGCUCCACACUCAGUGGGCAGAGCCUGACUCGGGGCUCAAUCCCACAACCCUGGGAUCCUGACCUGAGCUGAAAUCAAGAGGCACUCAACCGACUGAGCCACUCAGGUUCCCCGAACUCCUGACAGUGUUAAAGCAUCAUCAGAUAUUUAUUGAAGUACUAUGUGCGGGUUUCUUUUUUUUUUUUUAAUAUUUUUCAUGUAUAUUUAUUUUUGAGAGAGAAAGGGAAAGAGUGCGAGUGUGGGAUGGUCAGAGAAAUUCUGAAGCAGGCUCCGGGCUCUGAGCUGUCAGCACAGAGCACGAUGCAGGGCUGGAACUCAAAAACUGCAAGAUCAUGACCUGAGCUGAAGCCGGACGCUCAACCAACUGAGCCACCCAGGUGCCGCGAAUGUGUUGAUUCUAAACCUCAUGCUUCUAGGUUUCUUCUCUCUUGCCUUCUUGCAAGUCUAUGUAAGUCAAAUUAUCUGCCUUAUAUUGCAGAUGAGGUCUGCAGUGGUGUUUGCUAAAUUUGCAUUAUCUGAGUUGAGCCCAGCCCUCGGGCACGCCACGUCUUUACCCCAGCCUACCAGCCCCAAACACAGUCUUCCUCUUUCCUCCCCAGGCACCCACGCCAGAAAACUGGGAACUGUGCUGACCUCUUUCUUUCUUCACGUGCAGCCAACCAAAGCCCCAGCAGAUUCUGGAACUCCUUGCUCUGAGCUUGGCCCAGACGGCGGGGUCACACGAAGGAUCCCACGCGAGAGACCACUGUCCACGUGAAGCCGCCCUGCACCUUCGUCAUCCUCAUUUCUGCCCACGGUCUCAGCCCGGGACCAGCACACCCAGCAUGUGCACACGCCCAGACACACGCACACAACCCGUCCCCCCACCGCGAGGCAUGCUCUUCGGAGGCAACCCCGGUGGGACAGGAACUACAGAUUCCACAUAACAACCCAGAAAGGGACGCUUGGGUCCAAUGUGCCGGAGGCGACCUUGAACGUGUUGCUUCUAAUCCCCGGUUUGGAAAACGGGAAGGGUUUUCGCUGCCGGGAUGGGACAAAGGGAGGCGCCAAACAGCAGAGAAAAGACCCUUCUCCUGGGCUCCUGACUAGGCAAGCCUCCCCAGGAAAGGAGAACUCUCCUUCCUCCCCCUGCGCCCAGCCCUGCUCCCUCCACCCUCCCCAAUCAUUUCAGUCUCACCUUGUGUCACUUCUAACAUCUGAACUCUGCGCGCCUUGGCCUUGGGAAGCCCGGAUGAGUCUUGCCUGCUGCUUACGGCUCUGCACUGAGCAAGUACUCGGGUCCUCUGGAGACGGGGGUGCUGGCAGGGCACUUCUCGAUGUUUCUUUCACAAGAAGCUUCAAGUGUCCAGUUAUGGUUGCAUUCUGAUCAUUCACAGGCUCCGAAACAAGAACCAGCCUCCCUAUCUUUUACAGGGAGCCUCAAAAUAACAUGCGCCCAGUAAGAGAGAAAGUCACAUAAACACCGUUCACACACAAACACUCAGAUUCACUUACGAGCCGGGGCAAGGAAGCACAUAGAGGCUUUUCUGAAAUGCCUUCUCUCUGCCGCACCAACGCAAGGACACGCCUAGAACCCCCGGGGCACCUACGUCGACAGAGGCCUGGAUACUGUGGCGACACACGUGUGCAAACAGACAUGGUCAGACCCAGGCACACGCCCCGCUGUGGACCCGUCCACUUCCCCGGGGGACCCAGGUUUUAGCCUGAACAACGCAAGCCACAGAGGAUGUGCAGCAUGGCCAGUCCGCUGGUGAGUG